AUAACAGAAAACCACAAAGGAUAUUAAAGAACAGCUACCUAAAGACAAUUACUGAAAAUGGGGGGAAUGGAAGGGAUUAAAUUGCUUAAGAACAGGAGUUGAACGAUGUUAAACAAUACUUAAGAAAUGGAACAUAUUAAGAGAAGAAGAAACUACUAACUGCAAAUACGGUGAAACAUAGAUAAUGGACCAUCUACUAUGAUUUCGUCUAAUAGAAACCACUUGUUAUAAAAAUCACUUACA
This is a non-coding RNA of Cinara cedri, 243 nucleotides long. Lineage: Eukaryota; Metazoa; Arthropoda; Insecta; Hemiptera; Aphididae. The record is from the annotation of a GenBank genome assembly.